Molecule: ribosomal RNA, 228 nt
Filed under: uncultured bacterium
Lineage: Bacteria
Description: partial 16S ribosomal RNA
Rfam family: Bacterial small subunit ribosomal RNA
Source: RNAcentral
UGCGUAGGCGGAUUUAUAAGUCAGUGGUGAAAUCCUACAGCUUAACUGUAGAACUGCCAUUGAUACUGUAGAUCUUGAGUACGGUUGAGGUGGGCGGAAUGUGUCAUGUAGCGGUGAAAUGCUUAGAUAUGACACAGAACACCAAUUGCGAAGGCAGCUCGCUAAACCGUAACUGACGCUGAGGCACGAAAGCGUGGGGAGCGAACAGGAUUAGAUACCCUGGUAGUC